CCUACGGGAGGCAGCAGUGGGGAAUAUUGGGCAAUGGGCGCAAGCCUGACCCAGCAACGCCGCGUGAAGGAAGAAGGCUUUCGGGUUGUAAACUUCUUUUCUCAGGGACGAAGCAAGUGACGGUACCUGAGGAAUAAGCCACGGCUAACUACGUGCCAGCAGCCGCGGUAAUACGUAGGUGGCAAGCGUUAUCCGGAUUUACUGGGUGUAAAGGGCGUGUAGGCGGGAAAGCAAGUCAGAUGUGAAAACCAUGGGCUCAACCUGUGGCCUGCAUUUGAGACUGUUUGUCUUGAGUACUGGGGAGGCAGACGGAAUUCCUAGUGUAGCGGUGAAAUGCGUAGAUAUUAGGAGGAACACCAGUGGCGAAGGCGGUCUGCUGGACAGCAACUGACGCUGAGGCGCGAAAGCGUGGGGAGCAAACAGGAUUAGAGACCCCGGUAGUC
RNAcentral lists this ribosomal RNA (443 nucleotides) under uncultured bacterium. Its description in RNAcentral is "partial 16S ribosomal RNA". It matches the Rfam family "Bacterial small subunit ribosomal RNA", at positions 338 to 795 of the family's 1533-position model. The record is from RNAcentral.